RNAcentral lists this transfer RNA (92 nucleotides) under Chloroflexota bacterium. RNAcentral describes it as "Chloroflexi bacterium tRNA-Ser". It matches the Rfam family "tRNA". From Rfam's summary of the family: Transfer RNA (tRNA) molecules are approximately 80 nucleotides in length. Lineage: Bacteria; Bacillati; Chloroflexota. RNAcentral also lists the same sequence under 2 other names. The record is from RNAcentral.
GGAGAGGUGCUAGAGUGGACGAAUAGGCGCGCCUGGAAAGCGCGUAGGCUGGGCAACUGGUCUCGCGGGUUCGAAUCCCGCCCUCUCCGCCA